This 424-nucleotide ribosomal RNA is filed under the name Listeria monocytogenes. Its description in RNAcentral is "bacterial SSU rRNA". It matches the Rfam family "Bacterial small subunit ribosomal RNA", at positions 212 to 628 of the family's 1533-position model. The record is from RNAcentral. Lineage: Bacteria; Bacillati; Bacillota; Bacilli; Caryophanales; Listeriaceae.
CUAUCGCUUACAGAUGGGCCCGCGGUGCAUUAGCUAGUUGGUAGGGUAAUGGCCUACCAAGGCAACGAUGCAUAGCCGACCUGAGAGGGUGAUCGGCCACACUGGGACUGAGACACGGCCCAGACUCCUACGGGAGGCAGCAGUAGGGAAUCUUCCGCAAUGGACGAAAGUCUGACGGAGCAACGCCGCGUGUAUGAAGAAGGUUUUCGGAUCGUAAAGUACUGUUGUUAGAGAAGAACAAGGAUAAGAGUAACUGCUUGUCCCUUGACGGUAUCUAACCAGAAAGCCACGGCUAACUACGUGCCAGCAGCCGCGGUAAUACGUAGGUGGCAAGCGUUGUCCGGAUUUAUUGGGCGUAAAGCGCGCGCAGGCGGUCUUUUAAGUCUGAUGUGAAAGCCCCCGGCUUAACCGGGGAGGGUCAUUG